GAGGUAAUGGCUCACCAAGGCGACGACGGGUAGCCGGCCUGAGAGGGCGACCGGCCACACUGGGACUGAGACACGGCCCAGACUCCUACGGGAGGCAGCAGUGGGGAAUAUUGGGCAAUGGAGGAAACUCUGACCCAGCGACGCCGCGUGAGGGAUGAAGGCCUUCGGGUUGUAAACCUCUUUCAGUAGGGAAGAAGCGAAAGUGACGGUACCUACAGAAGAAGCACCGGCUAACUAUGUGCCAGCAGCCGCGGUAAUACAUAGGGUGCAAGCGUCGUCCGGAAUUAUUGGGCGUAAAGAGCUCGUAGGUGGUUCGAUACGUCGGAUGUGAAAAUCAGGGGCUCAACCCCUGACCUGCAUCCGAUACGGUCGAGCUAGAGUUUGGUAGGGGAGACUGGAAUUCCUGGUGUAGCGGUGGAAUGCGCAGAUAUCAGGAGGAACACCGAUGGCGAAGGCAGGUCUCUGGGCCAAUACUGACACUGAGGAGCGAAAGCGUGGGGAGCGAACAGGAUUAGAUACCCUGGUAGUCCACGCCGUAAACGGUGGGCGCUAGUUGUGCGAACCUUCCACGGUUUGUGCGACGCAGCUAACGCAUUAAGCGCCCCGCCUGGGGAG
RNAcentral lists this ribosomal RNA (615 nucleotides) under uncultured bacterium. RNAcentral describes it as "bacterial SSU rRNA". It matches the Rfam family "Bacterial small subunit ribosomal RNA", at positions 254 to 880 of the family's 1533-position model. The record is from RNAcentral.